Molecule: ribosomal RNA, 709 nt
Filed under: Chaetothyriales sp. A1060
Lineage: Eukaryota; Fungi; Ascomycota; Eurotiomycetes; Chaetothyriales
Description: SSU rRNA
Rfam family: Eukaryotic small subunit ribosomal RNA
Source: RNAcentral
UCAAAGAUUAAGCCAUGCAUGUCUAAGUAUAAGCAACUAUACUGUGAAACUGCGAAUGGCUCAUUAAAUCAGUUAUCGUUUAUUUGAUAGUACCUUUACCUGGAUAACCGUGGUAAUUCUAGAGCUAAUACAUGCUAAAAACCUCGACUUCGGAAGGGGUGUAUUUAUUAGAUAAAAAACCAAUGCCCUUCGGGGCUCCUUGGUGAAUCAUAAUAACUUAACGAAUCGCAUGGCCUUGCGCCGGCGAUGGUUCAUUCAAAUUUCUGCCCUAUCAACUUUCGAUGGUAAGAUAGAGGCUUACCAUGGUCUUAACGGGUAACGGGGAAUUAGGGUUCUAUUCCGGAGAGGGAGCCUGAGAAACGGCUACCACAUCCAAGGAAGGCAGCAGGCGCGCAAAUUACCCAAUCCCGACACGGGGAGGUAGUGACAAUAAAUACUGAUACGGGGCUCUUUUGGGUCUCGUAAUUGGAAUGAGUACAAUCUAAAUCCCUUAACGAGGAACAAUUGGAGGGCAAGUCUGGUGCCAGCAGCCGCGGUAAUUCCAGCUCCAAUAGCGUAUAUUAAAGUUGUUGCCGUUAAAAAGCUCGUAGUUGAACCUUGGGCCUGGCUGACCUGUCCUCCUAAUCGAGCGCACGGGUUCGGUCGGGCCUUUCCUUCUAGGGAACCCCAUGCCCUUCACUGGGUGUGGUGGGGAACUAGGACUUUUACC